This 475-nucleotide ribosomal RNA is filed under the name uncultured bacterium. Its description in RNAcentral is "bacterial SSU rRNA". It matches the Rfam family "Bacterial small subunit ribosomal RNA", at positions 28 to 507 of the family's 1533-position model. The record is from RNAcentral.
GACGAACGCUGGCGGCGUGCCUAACACAUGCAAGUCGAGCGGGGUUGAAGCGAGAGGUAACUCGAGCUUCUACCUAGCGGCGGACGGGUGAGUAACGCGUGGGCAACCUGCCUCAAGGUUUGGGAUAACAGCCCGAAAGGGCUGCUAAUACCGGAUAUGCCUAUGGCCUCGCAUGGGGCUAUGAGCAAAGGGGAAACCCGCCUUGAGAUGGGCCCGCGUCCCAUCAGCUAGUUGGUGAGGUAACAGCUCACCAAGGCGACGACGGGUAGCCGGCCUGAGAGGGUGACCGGCCACACUGGGACUGAGACACGGCCCAGACUCCUACGGGGGGCAGCAGUGGGGGAUCUUGCACAAUGGGCGAAAGCCUGAUGCAGCGACGCCGCGUGAGCGAAGAAGGCCUUCGGGUUGUAAAGCUCUGUCUGGAGGGACGAAGGAAGUGACGGUACCUCCGGAGGAAGCCACGGCUAACUACGUG